This 253-nucleotide ribosomal RNA is filed under the name uncultured bacterium. RNAcentral describes it as "partial 16S ribosomal RNA". It matches the Rfam family "Bacterial small subunit ribosomal RNA", at positions 524 to 776 of the family's 1533-position model. The record is from RNAcentral.
UACCGGGGGGGCAAGCGUUGUUCGGAAUUACUGGGCGUAAAGGGUUUGUAGGUGGCUUGCUCAGUCAGACGUGAAAUCCCUCAGCUUAACUGGGGAACUGCGUCUGAUACUAGCGAGCUUGAGUGCAGGAGAGGAACGCGGAAUUCCAGGUGUAGCGGUGAAAUGCGUAGAUAUCUGGAGGAACACCGGUGGCGAAGGCGGCGUUCUGGACUGCAACUGACACUGAAAAACGAAAGCCAGGGGAGCAAACGGG